GAUGAACGCUGGCGGCGUGCCUAAUACAUGCAAGUCGAGCGAACAGAUAAGGAGCUUGCUCCUUUGACGUUAGCGGCGGACGGGUGAGUAACACGUGGGUAACCUACCUAUAAGACUGGAAUAACUCCGGGAAACCGGGGCUAAUGCCGGAUAACAUUUAGAACCGCAUGGUUCUAAAGUGAAAGAUGGUUUUGCUAUCACUUAUAGCUGGACCUGCGCCGUAUUAGCUAGUUGGUAAGGUAACGGCUUACCAAGGCAACGAUACGUAGCCGACCUGAGAGGGUGAUCGGCCACACGGGAACUGAGACACGGUCCAGACUCCUACGGGAGGCAGCAGUAGGGUAUCUUCCGCAAUGGGCGAAAGCCUGACGGAGCAACGCCGCGUGAGUGAUGAAGGUCUUCGGAUCGUAAAACUCUGUUAUUAGGGAAGAACAGAUGUGUAAGUAACUGUGCACGUCUUGACGGUACCUAAUCAGAAAGCCACGGCUAACUACGUG
Molecule: ribosomal RNA, 497 nt
Filed under: uncultured bacterium
Lineage: Bacteria
Description: partial 16S ribosomal RNA
Rfam family: Bacterial small subunit ribosomal RNA
Source: RNAcentral